GUGAAUCAUCAAAUCUUUGAACGCAAAUUGCACUCUCUUCGGAUAGUAUGCCUGUUUGAGGGUCAGCCUAAAAAAAAUCGACAUCGUUGCUGUUUCUCGUUGGCGUUCGUCGGAAAUUGAGUGAUCUUAAAUCUUUGGUUUAAGCGACUUAAAAUGUUCUUUACGAUUCCAUGAACGUAUCCAAGAUUUAUUUCUUUACAUGUUUAAGGUAUCGAUUUGAUGAGUCGUGAUAUUCAUAUCUGCGCAUGUCCAUAAUUUUUCGUUAACUAA
RNAcentral lists this unclassified non-coding RNA (270 nucleotides) under Glomus sp. RNAcentral describes it as "partial contains 5.8S ribosomal RNA and internal transcribed spacer 2". The stretch from base 1 to 65 matches the Rfam family "5.8S ribosomal RNA", at positions 84 to 154 of the family's 154-position model. The record is from RNAcentral. Lineage: Eukaryota; Fungi; Glomeromycota; Glomeromycetes; Glomerales; Glomeraceae.